UACGUAGGGGCUAGCGUUAUCCGGAUUUAUUGGGUUUAAAGGGUGCGCAGGUUGUUUGAUAAGUCAGUGGUGAAAGUCUGUCGCUUAACGGUAGGAUUGCCAUUGAUACUGUUGGACUUGAAUAUGGAUGAGGUAGGCGGAAUGUGUAGUGUAGCGGUGAAAUGCAUAGAUAUUACACAGAGCACCGAUUGCGAAGGCAGCUUACUAAUCCAUCAUUGACGCUGAGGCACGAAAGCGUGGGGAUCAAACAGGA
Molecule: ribosomal RNA, 253 nt
Filed under: uncultured prokaryote
Description: partial 16S ribosomal RNA
Rfam family: Bacterial small subunit ribosomal RNA
Source: RNAcentral